AGGACGAACGCUGGCGGCGUGCUUAACACAUGCAAGUCGAGCGGAAAGGCCCUUCGGGGUACUCGAGCGGCGAACGGGUGAGUAACACGUGAGCAACCUGCCCUUAGCUUCGGGAUAGCUCCGGGAAACCGGAAUUAAUACCGAAUAUGACUGCGGCUGACAUCAGCCACGGUGGAAAGUUUUUCGGCUAGGGAUGGACUCGCGGCCUAUCAGCUAGUGGUGAGGUAACGGCCCACAAGGCGACGACGGGUA
RNAcentral lists this ribosomal RNA (252 nucleotides) under uncultured bacterium. RNAcentral describes it as "partial small subunit ribosomal RNA". It matches the Rfam family "Bacterial small subunit ribosomal RNA", at positions 26 to 285 of the family's 1533-position model. The record is from RNAcentral.